Molecule: long non-coding RNA, 199 nt
Organism: Talpa occidentalis (Iberian mole)
Lineage: Eukaryota; Metazoa; Chordata; Mammalia; Eulipotyphla; Talpidae
Exons: 3
Source: RefSeq, a predicted model, not a curated record
CUAAAUUGCACAUUCUUGACUCUGGAAUCAGCAGCAAGGCUAAACUGACUUCAUCUACAACAUUGUGUGAGAGGACACACCAAGAAAACAUGGCAGUGCUGUUUUUAGGUUGGCUUAAUGCUUCUGCGAGAAUGAUACAUGUCAAAAGACCACCGAUAGCAAGCUCUGGAGAGGACUAAGAAAGAGGAGCCAUAAUACA